Molecule: long non-coding RNA, 431 nt
Filed under: Oryza brachyantha (malo sina)
Lineage: Eukaryota; Viridiplantae; Streptophyta; Magnoliopsida; Poales; Poaceae
Description: long non-coding RNA (OBRA_LNC003371)
Source: RNAcentral
CCCCGCUAACGCCUCUCACCGCUGCCGCUCGCCAGCGCCCGCGUUCUCCGGCGACGCUCACAACCGCCACGAUGGUGCCAUCCCUAGACGGAGCCUCGGCGGCCGCGGCGAUGGCAAAGGGGUGGGGCACGUGUAGCGACUGGCCCUCCUCCGCCUCGGCGUGGUUCUGGUGCAUGGAGGCCGUGGUGUAGAACAUCGCGGUGGCCGUGUUCGCCGCGGAGCGUUGGUGGCGGCGCAGCGCCGCUCCUCCCAUGGGCGGGUAGUCGUGGGAGUGGGACGUGUUGGUGGGGACGAGCAGGGGGAGGAGGAGGAGGAGAGAGAGGCGGAAAAGGAGCGCCAUGGAGGGUGGCUUACUCGAGAGAGCCCCGGCCGCCGACGCUCGCCCCUGACGCCGUUGCCGCUGCUCGCUCGCCGACGCCUCUCACCGCCGU